RNAcentral lists this ribosomal RNA (492 nucleotides) under uncultured bacterium. RNAcentral describes it as "partial 16S ribosomal RNA". It matches the Rfam family "Bacterial small subunit ribosomal RNA", at positions 29 to 507 of the family's 1533-position model. The record is from RNAcentral.
AGUGAACGCUGGCGGUAGGCCUAACACAUGCAAGUCGAACGGCAGCACAGUAAGAGCUUGCUCUUACGGGUGGCGAGUGGCGGACGGGUGAGGAAUACAUCGGAAUCUACUUUUUCGUGGGGGAUAACGUAGGGAAACUUACGCUAAUACCGCAUACGACCUACGGGUGAAAGCAGGGGAUCUUCGGACCUUGCGCGAUUGAAUGAGCCGAUGUCGGAUUAGCUAGUUGGCGGGGUAAAGGCCCACCAAGGCGACGAUCCGUAGCUGGUCUGAGAGGAUGGUCAGCCGCACUGGAACGUGAACGCGGUCCAGGCUCCUAAGGGAGGGAGCAGUGGGGAAUAUUGGACAAUGGGGGGAAACCUUGUCCAACCAUACCGAGUUGGUUGAGGAAGCCCUCCGGUUGUAAAGCCCUUUUUUUGGGAAAGAAAAGCCGCCGGUUAAUACCCCGCUGUUCUGACGGUACCCAAAGAAUAAGCACCGGCUAACUUCGUG